AUUGAACGCUGGCGGCGUGCUUAACACAUGCAAGUCGUGCGAGAAAGGGGACUUCGGUCCCUGAGUAGAGCGGCGCACGGGUGAGUAACGCGUGGAUAAUCUACCCAGAUGUUCGGGAUAACGGUGGGAAACUGCCGCUAAUACCGGAUACGAUCCAAUUUCGGUUGGGUGAAAGGCGGCCUCUGCUUGCAAGCUGUCGCAUCUGGAUGAGUCCGCGUCCCAUUAGCUUGUUGGUGGGGUAAUGGCCUACCAAGGCUACGAUGGGUAACUGGUCUGAGAGGAUGAUCAGUCACACUGGAACUGAAACACGGUCCAGACUCCUACGGGUGGCUG
Molecule: ribosomal RNA, 333 nt
Filed under: uncultured Pseudomonadota bacterium
Lineage: Bacteria; Pseudomonadati; Pseudomonadota
Description: bacterial SSU rRNA
Rfam family: Bacterial small subunit ribosomal RNA
Source: RNAcentral